This 245-nucleotide ribosomal RNA is filed under the name uncultured bacterium. Its description in RNAcentral is "partial 16S ribosomal RNA". It matches the Rfam family "Bacterial small subunit ribosomal RNA", at positions 524 to 768 of the family's 1533-position model. The record is from RNAcentral.
UACGUAGGUGGCAAGCGUUGUCCGGAUUUACUGGGCGUAAAGGAUGCGUAGGCGGAUACUUAAGUCAGAUGUGAAAAUCCCGGGCUUAACUUGGGAACUGCAUUUGAAACUGGGUAUCUAGAGUGCGGGAGAGGAAAGUGGAAUUCCUAGUGUAGCGGUGAAAUGCGUAGAGAUUAGGAAGAACACCAGUGGCGAAGGCGACUUUCUGGACCGUAACUGACGCUGAGGCAUGAAAGCGUGGGGAG